CAAAACAAACAGGCGCAGCUACCUUCACGACUUCACCCUCAUCCUCCAUCGAUCUUCGAUCUUCUUCACCCUCAUCCUCCAUCGAUCUUCUUCACCCUACACCAGGCGCAGCUACAUUUAGAGAGAGUUUCGCUGGAACCGUAGGCCACAGCCGCCGCCGCCGCCGCCGCCUCCAUUGGAGAAUGCCCACUGAAUAGGAAUCGAUCCCUGUCUCCAUCAGUGGUUUGGCUGAAUUGAGUCUCGUUUGGGAGUAAGAAGAUUUACUCCGAUGGCGAAUAUGCCGGAGAAAUUGAACCAGUGUAAGCUUGAUGCUCGCCGUGAACAAUGCCUUUCGCAAGAGAGCAGGUUGCGUAGGUUGUACUAUGGCUAUCAUGAAGAAUGUUUUAAGGUGUCUUUCGGAUCUUUUACCUGUUUGCUGUUGCUUUUCUGCUGAUCUACCAGUCACUUUUCCAUCUAUUUCACCACCUUAGCUGCAAUUUUCUUCGAUGGAGGUUGUAGGAGUUGAAAUUCUCUCUCUGACAGAACUAUUAGCCAUUUCUUGGACUGGAUUUGGCUGUUGAUGAAAUGACUCUGCAUCAUAUUGUAGGAUUGCAUUAAGUGCUUCUUGUACUAACUUUAUGGCUGCAGUCUGUUGCAGUCCAAGUUUCUCUGUCUUUGCAACUUGGUCAUCAACUUCCUAGAGAUUGUUGUUGUUUUUACUCAGCUCCAUAUUCAAGUUACUCAUCUCAUGGCUAUUGUUUCCAUCUCCACUUUCUUUUUCAUCUGCUUGAAUGAUAUCUUGGGCCUCAUUCGUUUAUGGUUCACUUAAACUUU
This is a long non-coding RNA of Spinacia oleracea (spinach), 813 nucleotides long. RefSeq lists it as uncharacterized. The transcript has 5 exons. The record is from RefSeq and is a predicted model, not a curated record. Lineage: Eukaryota; Viridiplantae; Streptophyta; Magnoliopsida; Caryophyllales; Amaranthaceae.